CAAUAGCGUAUAUUAAAGUUGUUGCAGUUAAAAAGCUCGUAGUUGGAUUUCUGGUAGGAGCGACCGUGCCGAACUUGAUUGUUCGAGUAUUGUGUUGUCUUCAGCCAUCCUCGUGGAGAACUUUUCUAACAUUAACUUGUUGGGAUUGGGACCCGCGUCGUUUACUGUGAAAAAAUUAGAGUGUUUAAAGCAGGCAUUAGCUUGAAUACAUUAGCAUGGAAUAAUAAGAUAGGACUUUGGUACUAUUUUGUUGGUUUGCAUACCAAAUUAAUGAUCAACAGGAACAGUUUGAGGAUAUUCGUAUGAACAUGUCAGAGGUGAAAUUCUUGGAUUUUGAUCAGACGAACUACUGCGAAAGCAUUUAUCAAGGAUGUUUCCAUUAA
This 383-nucleotide ribosomal RNA is filed under the name uncultured eukaryote. RNAcentral describes it as "partial 18S ribosomal RNA". It matches the Rfam family "Eukaryotic small subunit ribosomal RNA", at positions 592 to 976 of the family's 1831-position model. The record is from RNAcentral.